This 253-nucleotide ribosomal RNA is filed under the name uncultured bacterium. Its description in RNAcentral is "partial 16S ribosomal RNA". It matches the Rfam family "Bacterial small subunit ribosomal RNA", at positions 524 to 776 of the family's 1533-position model. The record is from RNAcentral.
UACGGGGGGGGCAAGCGUUGUUCGGAAUUACUGGGCGUAAAGGGCUCGUAGGCGGCCAACUAAGUCCGACGUGAAAUCCCCAGGCUUAACCUGGGAACUGCGUCGGAUACUGGAUGGCUUGAAUCCGGGAGAGGGAUGCGGAAUUCCAGGUGUAGCGGUGAAAUGCGUAGAUAUCUGGGGGAACACCGGUGGCGAAGGCGGCAUCCUGGACCGGCAUUGACGCUGAUGAGCGAAAGCCAGGGGAGCAAACGGG